GCCUCUGUAGUUCAAUGGAUAGAACAGGUCCGUCCUAAGGAUUAGAUGUGGGUUCGAUUCCUGCCAGAGGCACCA
This 75-nucleotide transfer RNA is filed under the name Patescibacteria group bacterium. RNAcentral's name for it is "tRNA-Arg". It matches the Rfam family "tRNA". From Rfam's summary of the family: Transfer RNA (tRNA) molecules are approximately 80 nucleotides in length. The record is from RNAcentral.